UUAAUUGAAGCCAAAAAGAGGCCUAUCACUGUUAAUGAUACUAUUGAAUAAUAAUUCCAAUUAAG
This 65-nucleotide transfer RNA is filed under the name Neopanorpa lui. RNAcentral's name for it is "tRNA-Asn". Lineage: Eukaryota; Metazoa; Arthropoda; Insecta; Mecoptera; Panorpidae. RNAcentral also lists the same sequence under 1 other name. The record is from RNAcentral.